Molecule: ribosomal RNA, 436 nt
Filed under: uncultured bacterium
Lineage: Bacteria
Description: partial 16S ribosomal RNA
Rfam family: Bacterial small subunit ribosomal RNA
Source: RNAcentral
GAUGAACGCUGGCGGCAUGCUUUACACAUGCAAGUCGGACGGGAAGUGGUGUUUCCAGUGGCGGGCGGGUGAGUAACGCGUAAGAACCUGCCCUUGGGAGGGGAACAACAGCUGGAAACGGCUGCUAUACCCCGUAGGCUGAGGAGCGAAAGGAGGAAUCCGCCCAAGGAGGGGCUCGCGUCUGAUUAGCUAGUUGGUGAGGUAAUAGCUUACCAAGGCCGUGAUCAGUAGCUGGUCCGAGAGGAUGAUCAGCCACACUGGGACUGAGACAAGGCCCAGACUCCUACGGGAGGCAGCAGUGGGGAAUUUUCCGCAAUGGGCGAAAGCCUGACGGAGCAAUGCCGCGUGGAGGUAAAAGGCCUACGGGUCAUGAACUUCUUUUCCUGGAGAAGAAACAAUGACGGUAUCUGGGGAAUAAGCAUCGGCUAACUCUGUG